GGGGGGCGGGGGACACCCAGCUCAGGUGAGAAGCCCGGGACAAGAUGGGGGUGCGGCGCCCGCCCAAGGGUGGACGCUCCUGGGGUCCGGUCUCCUGGCGUCCUGUCUAGACACUCAAGAAAGACUUUUGCAGCACCUACUGCGUGCAGUCGCUGAGGCCGCAGGGGUGAGCGGAGACCUACGCCUCCAGAGGGCACCCAGGGCUCGUGGGAGAGUAGACAAGUACUUGGAGAGAGGCUGGGGACAGGGAAGGAGGAAGCACCUGGACUAUCUGCCAUGGGUGGGAGGUUAUUUUUAUGAAUGAAUGGGUGGGUGAAUGAAUGAAUGAAUGAAUGAAUGAAUAUGAGUUUCUGCUAUUUGCGGACCUCCUCCAAAUGUUGUAGGCCAGAUGAGAAAGGAGUGGCCCGGGCAUGCCCUUGUGGGUCACUGCAGGACCUCUUCAGCCAGCUCCAGGAAGUUUCAAUGAAGGUGGAAUUACCACGCAUCUCACCCAGGCAGCCAGUGAGCUAAGGAAAACUAUGGAACCGUCCAUCUGUAGAGCUCAGAGCUAGCUCUGGCACAUGGCAGAUGUCAUGAAUGGUUCAUAUUAUGGUAUAUAGUAUGAUGGCCUUUUAGUUUUAUUUUUUACGCGUGUGGGCGUUUUAUCUGCAUGUAUAGACAUAGACAUGCAUCCUGGUGUCCUCUGCACUCGGAAACCCUGGAACUAGAGUUACAGACAUUAUGAGCCACUAUGUGGGUGAACCGGGAUCCUCUGGAAGAGCAGCCAAUGUUCUUAACCUCUGGGCCAUCUCUCCAGCUCUUUGGUAUAAUGUUUAAUCAAUGCAGAUGAUCCUUAGUUUCUUAGAGUCUGGGGACCCUGCACUGUUCCGAUCAAAACCUCGACUCUGAGAAGCCUAGAAUAGGAGGUGUCAGGACAGGAGAAAGGAAAAAGGGGCUCUUCGAAGAGACUGGAGCAAGGUAGCCACGCCCCCACUUCUUAGCGACAGGACAGAGGGCGGGACUUGGCUGAGGAGCUAGUAUCUGGAGGGUGGAGCACUUUGGAUUUCAGGAAUAAAUCUUACUUUUCUCUAAAUCUC
RNAcentral lists this long non-coding RNA (1076 nucleotides) under Mus musculus (house mouse). Its description in RNAcentral is "RIKEN cDNA A930001C03 gene". The record is from RNAcentral. Lineage: Eukaryota; Metazoa; Chordata; Mammalia; Rodentia; Muridae.